ACGGGAGGCAGCAGUGGGGAAUAUUGGACAAUGGGGGAAACCCUGAUCCAGCGACGCCGCGUGAGUGAAGAAGUAUUUCGGUAUGUAAAGCUCUAUCAGCAAGGAAGAAAAUGACGGUACUUGACUAAGAAGCCCCGGCUAACUACGUGCCAGCAGCCGCGGUAAUACGUAGGGGGCAAGCGUUAUCCGGAUUUACUGGGUGUAAAGGGAGCGUAGACGGCAAAGCAAGUCUGAAGUGAAAUCCCGGGGCUCAACCCUGGAACUGCUUUGGAAACUGUUUAGCUAGAGUGCAGGAGAGGUAAGUGGAAUUCCUAGUGUAGCGGUGAAAUGCGUAGAUAUUAGGAGGAACAUCAGUGGCGAAGGCGGCUUACUGGGCUUUAACUGACGCUGAGGCUCGAAAGCGUGGGGAGCAAACAGGAUUAGAUACCCUGGUA
RNAcentral lists this ribosomal RNA (434 nucleotides) under uncultured Clostridium sp. RNAcentral's name for it is "partial 16S ribosomal RNA". It matches the Rfam family "Bacterial small subunit ribosomal RNA", at positions 341 to 792 of the family's 1533-position model. Lineage: Bacteria; Bacillati; Bacillota; Clostridia; Eubacteriales; Clostridiaceae. The record is from RNAcentral.